GGGCGCGUAGCUCAGCGGGAGAGCACUCCCUUCACAUCGGAGGGGUCACAGGUUCAAUCCCUGUCGCGCCCACCA
RNAcentral lists this transfer RNA (75 nucleotides) under Brucella ceti TE10759-12. RNAcentral describes it as "tRNA-Val (CAC) (tRNA-Val-CAC-1-1)". It matches the Rfam family "tRNA". Rfam says of the family: Transfer RNA (tRNA) molecules are approximately 80 nucleotides in length. Their secondary structure includes four short double-helical elements and three loops (D, anti-codon, and T loops). Further hydrogen bonds mediate the characteristic L-shaped molecular structure. tRNAs have two regions of fundamental functional importance: the anti-codon, which is responsible for specific mRNA codon recognition, and the 3' end, to which the tRNAs corresponding amino acid is attached (by aminoacyl-tRNA synthetases). tRNAs cope with the degeneracy of the genetic code in two manners: having more than one tRNA (with a specific anti-codon) for a particular amino acid; and 'wobble' base-pairing, i.e. permitting non-standard base-pairing at the 3rd anti-codon position. Lineage: Bacteria; Pseudomonadati; Pseudomonadota; Alphaproteobacteria; Hyphomicrobiales; Brucellaceae. The record is from RNAcentral.